GUGGGGAAUCUUGCGCAAUGGGCGAAAGCCUGACGCAGCCAUGCCGCGUGAAUGAUGAAGGUCUUAGGAUUGUAAAAUUCUUUCACCGGGGACGAUAAUGACGGUACCCGGAGAAGAAGCCCCGGCUAACUUCGUGCCAGCAGCCGCGGUAAUACGAAGGGGGCUAGCGUUGCUCGGAAUUACUGGGCGUAAAGGGCGCGUAGGCGGAUCGUUAAGUCAGGGGUGAAAUCCCAGAGCUCAACUCUGGAACUUCCCUUGAUACUGGCGAUCUUGAGUGUGAGAGAGGUAUGUGGAACUCCGAGUGUAGAGGUGAAAUUCGUAGAUAUUCGGAAGAACACCAGUGGCGAAGGCGACAUACUGGCUCAUUACUGACGCUGAGGCGCGAAAGCGUGGGGAGCAAACAGGAUUAGAAACCCGGGUAGUCC
Molecule: ribosomal RNA, 425 nt
Filed under: uncultured bacterium
Lineage: Bacteria
Description: partial 16S ribosomal RNA
Rfam family: Bacterial small subunit ribosomal RNA
Source: RNAcentral